Molecule: transfer RNA, 77 nt
Filed under: Erwinia sp.
Lineage: Bacteria; Pseudomonadati; Pseudomonadota; Gammaproteobacteria; Enterobacterales; Erwiniaceae
Also listed under: 2 other names
Description: tRNA-Met
Rfam family: tRNA
About the family: Transfer RNA (tRNA) molecules are approximately 80 nucleotides in length. Their secondary structure includes four short double-helical elements and three loops (D, anti-codon, and T loops). Further hydrogen bonds mediate the characteristic L-shaped molecular structure. tRNAs have two regions of fundamental functional importance: the anti-codon, which is responsible for specific mRNA codon recognition, and the 3' end, to which the tRNAs corresponding amino acid is attached (by aminoacyl-tRNA synthetases). tRNAs cope with the degeneracy of the genetic code in two manners: having more than one tRNA (with a specific anti-codon) for a particular amino acid; and 'wobble' base-pairing, i.e. permitting non-standard base-pairing at the 3rd anti-codon position.
Source: RNAcentral
GGCCCCUUAGCUCAGUUGGUUAGAGCACGCGACUCAUAAUCGCUUGGUCGCUGGUUCAAGCCCAGCAGGGGCCACCA